RNAcentral lists this ribosomal RNA (253 nucleotides) under uncultured bacterium. RNAcentral's name for it is "partial 16S ribosomal RNA". It matches the Rfam family "Bacterial small subunit ribosomal RNA", at positions 524 to 776 of the family's 1533-position model. The record is from RNAcentral.
UACGGAGGGGGCUAGCGUUGUUCGGAAUGAUUGGGCGUAAAGCGUCCGCAGGUGGCUAUGUAAGUCUGCUGUUAAAUAGUCUAGCUCAACUAGAUAAAGGCAGUGGAAACUACAUGGCUAGAGUGCGUUCGGGGCAGAGGGAAUUCCUGGUGUAGCGGUGAAAUGCGUAGAGAUCAGGAAGAACACCGGUGGCGAAAGCGCUCUGCUAGGCCGCAACUGACACUGAGGGACGAAAGCUAGGGGAGCGAAUGGG